RNAcentral lists this ribosomal RNA (433 nucleotides) under uncultured bacterium. Its description in RNAcentral is "partial 16S ribosomal RNA". It matches the Rfam family "Bacterial small subunit ribosomal RNA", at positions 29 to 507 of the family's 1533-position model. The record is from RNAcentral.
AACGAACGCUGGCGGCAUGCCUAACACAUGCAAGUCGAACGAGACCUUCGGGUCUAGUGGCGCACGGGUGCGUAACGCGUGGGAACCUGCCCUUAGGUUCGGAAUAACUCCCCGAAAGGGGUGCUAAUACCGGAUAAUGUCUUCGGACCAAAGAUUUAUCGCAUUUGGAUGGGCCCGCGUUGGAUUAGCUAGUUGGUAGGGUAAAAGCCUACCAAGGCGACGAUCCAUAGCUGGUCUGAGAGGAUGAUCAGCCACACUGGGACUGGGACACGGCCCAGACUCCGACGGGAGGCAGCAAUGGGGAAUAUUGGACAAUGGGCGAAGGCCUGAUCCAGCUAUGCCGCGUGAGUGAUGAAGGCCUUAGGGUUGUAAAGCUCUUUUACCCGGGAUGAUAAUGACAGUACCGGGAGAAUAAGCUCCGGCUAACUCCGUG